GGCCUAGGAAUGGGAAUCCUACUGUGGUA
RNAcentral lists this non-coding RNA (29 nucleotides) under Homo sapiens (human). The record is from RNAcentral. Lineage: Eukaryota; Metazoa; Chordata; Mammalia; Primates; Hominidae.